UACGUAGGUGGCAAGCGUUGUCCGGAUUUAUUGGGUUUAAAGGGUGCGUAGGCGGCUUUGUAAGUCAGUGGUGAAAUAUGGCAGCUCAACUGUCAGGGUGCCAAUGAUACUGCGGAGCUUGAGUACAGAUGAGGUAGGCGGAAUUGACGGUGUAGCGGUGAAAUGCUUAGAUAUCGUCAAGAACACCGAUAGCGAAGGCAGCUUACUAGGCUGUAACUGACGCUGAGGCACGAAAGUGUGGGGAUCAAACAGGAUUAGAAACCCCCGUAGUCC
This 273-nucleotide ribosomal RNA is filed under the name uncultured bacterium. RNAcentral describes it as "partial 16S ribosomal RNA". It matches the Rfam family "Bacterial small subunit ribosomal RNA", at positions 524 to 796 of the family's 1533-position model. The record is from RNAcentral.